This 329-nucleotide ribosomal RNA is filed under the name uncultured eukaryote. Its description in RNAcentral is "partial 18S ribosomal RNA". It matches the Rfam family "Eukaryotic small subunit ribosomal RNA", at positions 1470 to 1796 of the family's 1831-position model. The record is from RNAcentral.
CCCUUAGAUGUUCUGGGCCGCACGCGCGCUACAAUGAUGAAUUCAACGAGUUUAUAACCUUGGUUGAAAAGCCUGGGUAAUCUUUUGAACUUUCGUCGUGAUGGGGCUAGACCCUUGCAAUUAUUGGUCUCCAACGAGGAAUUCCUAGUAAACGCAAGCCAUCAGCUUGCAUUGAUUACGUCCCUGCCCUUUGUACACACCGCCCGUCGCACCUACCGAUUGAAUGGUCCGGUGAAAUCUUCGGAUUGAGACUUUGAUUUCUUCACGGAAAACGCUGUUUUAAAAAGUUGAUUAAACCUUACCAUUUAGAGGAAGGUGAAGUCGUAACA